RNAcentral lists this non-coding RNA (45 nucleotides) under Trichobilharzia regenti. The record is from RNAcentral. Lineage: Eukaryota; Metazoa; Platyhelminthes; Trematoda; Strigeidida; Schistosomatidae.
AGAUAGCCGACGAGUCCUAAAUAGGACGAAAUGGGCAUCCUGGAU